GACGAACGCUGGCGGCGUGCCUAAUACAUGCAAGUCGAGCGGGGUURNKUAGAAGCUUGCUUCUACAYAACCUAGCGGCGGACGGGUGAGUAACACGUAGGCAACCUGCCCACAAGACAGGGAUAACUACCGGAAACGGUAGCUAAUACCCGAUAYAUCCUUUUCCUGCAUGGGAGAAGGAGGAAAGACGGAGCAAUCUGUCACUUGUGGAUGGGCCUGCGGCGCAUUAGCUAGUUGGUGGGGUAAAGGCCUACNAAGGCGACGAUGCGUAGCCGACCUGAGAGGGUGAUCGSCCACACUGGGACUGAGACACGGCCCAGACUCCUACGGGAGGCAGCAGUAGGGAAUCUUCCGCAAUGGGCGAAAGCCUGACGGRGCAACGCCGCGUGAGUGAUGAAGGUUUUCGGAUCGUAAAGCUCUGUUGCCAGGGAA
RNAcentral lists this ribosomal RNA (432 nucleotides) under Paenibacillus sp. R-30627. Its description in RNAcentral is "bacterial SSU rRNA". It matches the Rfam family "Bacterial small subunit ribosomal RNA", at positions 28 to 446 of the family's 1533-position model. The record is from RNAcentral. Lineage: Bacteria; Bacillati; Bacillota; Bacilli; Caryophanales; Paenibacillaceae.